RNAcentral lists this transfer RNA (61 nucleotides) under Camelus bactrianus (Bactrian camel). It matches the Rfam family "tRNA", at positions 6 to 65 of the family's 71-position model. Rfam says of the family: Transfer RNA (tRNA) molecules are approximately 80 nucleotides in length. Their secondary structure includes four short double-helical elements and three loops (D, anti-codon, and T loops). The record is from Rfam by way of RNAcentral. RNAcentral also lists the same sequence under 1 other name. Lineage: Eukaryota; Metazoa; Chordata; Mammalia; Artiodactyla; Camelidae.
UAUAGCUCAGCAGUAGAGUGCAUGCCUAGCAUGCACAAGGUCCUGGGUUCAAUCCCCAGUA